CGCUGCUGCCCGGCCACCUAAGAAAAGGGGCAGCCAUGGAGAGAAUCGUUAGGCACAGAGCCUAUGAAGCAACUGCAAUAGCCCCACCUCUAUUCCACUUGUUACAGACACCCUCCCUGGAUAGCACUUCAGAAGAGUGACUGGCAGCCUGUGCUAAGUCAAGUGACAGCAGUACUCCGCUCUGCAGUUAUAGCCCUGCUGGUUUUCUGCACCUCUCGAUAUUGUAGUGGAAUGUGACCAUAAGUAUUCCCAAUUCUGUCCCAACAACCCCUCACCCUGAACUUAUCUUGAUGAUGCUGUGUGAGAAAACUGCAAGAGCAAAGCAACUGAAGUGGCCUGAUAUUAAUGGAAAAGACUUUCAUUAUGGAUAUUACAUACAGUAAAUGAAAGCAAAUAUUAUAUUGUUUCUUCUGAGUGAGGAGUGAUGGCGCCUGAGAGGUCCCUGUCCUAGGAAGGAGUCUGGGAGCAAUGAAAGGUGAGGAGGAGCCCAGGACAAGGAGGCAUCUAAUAAGAAUUACUGAAUGUAAAGGUGCUUAUAUGUGCCCAGGUCAGACAUUUGCUCCCAAGGGCACAACAGCCAGAGCUAAAGAAAUUGCACAGGUGAUGCAUACACAACUGUUGGACGUACUAUAAUUGCAUACACUAUUUAAUCUGUCUCCAUGCGGCCUGUAUUUGUGGGUGUAUGCAGGACAGUAGAUCCAGAGACAGACAGAGAGAUAAGAACUUUUUGUGUUGGAGAGGUGUGCUUGGGAUCAUUUUGUGUGUUACCUUUUGGCCAAGUCUGUGUUUUUUUUUUUUAUAUAUUUGCUGCAUUUCUUUCUAUCUGCUGCGAUGGAUUAUGAGACUGAAGUGCUGUUGGCCACAUAUCUAGCCUCCGAAACCGUCCAACCCCAACCUGCCCCUCAUCUUCGAAGGCAACGGAGAUCCUGUCCCUGAAUGCAAAGUACCCCGGCAGUGCCCAUGAUGCCCAUGUCAUUCGGCAAUCAGGGAUCUGGCAAAGAUUAAGAAUGAUGGAAGGCCAAGACAUGUGGCUAUUGGGAGAUUGAGGAUAUCCUUGCACCCCCUGGCCCAUGACUCCUUACAGCACACCCAAACCAGGGCCACAAGCCGCAUUUAAGUCCGCACAUACAGCCGCUAGGCAGCUGGUGGAGUGCACCAUUGGCAUCCUGAAAGGACACUUCCAUGUGCUUCACCGCACUGGUGGCGACCUCAUGUAUUUGCCGAAAAUGAUGAUGUAGCUGGAGAUCCCAAUGCCUUGAUUGGCCAAAGCCUACAGAGAAGGCAUGCUGGCAGAAAUAUUGUUUCUGCAAAAAAAAUGUGUUAAUGUUUCUUUGUUUAUUUGUUAGUAAAAAAAAGUAAAAGCCUAAAACAACAUAAAAAUAAACAAUU
Molecule: long non-coding RNA, 1389 nt
Organism: Pseudophryne corroboree (corroboree frog)
Lineage: Eukaryota; Metazoa; Chordata; Amphibia; Anura; Myobatrachidae
Exons: 12
Source: RefSeq, a predicted model, not a curated record